AGCUAAUAGAUACCCCGGUAGUCCACGCCCUAAACGAUGUCUACUAGUUGUUGGUGGAGUAAAAUCCAUGAGUAAACGCAGCUAAACGCGUGAAGUAGACCGCCUGGGGAGUACGGUCGCAAGAUUAAAACUCAAAGGAAUUGACGGGGGCCCGCACAAGCGGUGGAUUAUGUGGAUUAAAUUCGAUGCAACGCGAAAAACCUUACCUGGCCUUGACAUGCCACUAACGAAGCAGAGAUGCAUUAGGUGCCCGUAAGGGAAAGUGGACACAGGUGCUGCAUGGCUGUCGUCAGCUCGUGUCGUGAAAUGUUGGGUUAAGUCCCGCAACGAGCGCAACCCUUGCCAUUAAUUGCCAUCAUUUAGUUGGGCACUUUAAUGGGACUGCCGGUGACAAACCGGAGGAAGGUGGGGAUGACGUCAAGUCCUCAUGGCCCUUAUGGCCAGGGCUUCACACGUAAUACAAUGGUCGGUACAGAGAGUUGCCAACCCGCGAGGGGUAGCUAAUCUCAGAAAGCCGAUCGUAGUCCGGAUUGUUCUCUGC
RNAcentral lists this ribosomal RNA (541 nucleotides) under uncultured bacterium. RNAcentral describes it as "bacterial SSU rRNA". It matches the Rfam family "Bacterial small subunit ribosomal RNA", at positions 774 to 1308 of the family's 1533-position model. The record is from RNAcentral.